AUUGAACGCUGGCGGCAUGCCUUACACAUGCAAGUCGAACGGCAGCACGGGAGCUUGCUCCUGGUGGCGAGUGGCGAACGGGUGAGUAAUACAUCGGAACGUACCCAGUAGUGGGGGAUAACGCACCAAAAGGUGCGCUAAUACCGCAUACGACCUACGGGUGAAAGCGGGGGACCGUAAGGCCUCGCGCUAUAGGAGCGGCCGAUGUCUGAUUAGCUAGUUGGCGGGGUAAUAGCCCACCAAGGCGACGAUCAGUAGCUGGUCUGAGAGGACGAUCAGCCACACUGGGACUGGGAAACGGCCCAGACUCCUACGGGAGGCAGCAGUGGGGAAUUUUGGACAAUGGGGGCAACCCUGAUCCAGCAAUGCCGCGUGUGCGAAGAAGGCCUUCGGGUUGUAAAGCACUUUUGUCAGGGAAGAAAUCUUUCAGGCUAAUACCCUUGGAAGGAUGACGGUACCUGAAGAAUAAGCACCGGCUAACUACGUGCCAGCAGCCGCCGUAA
This 503-nucleotide ribosomal RNA is filed under the name uncultured bacterium. RNAcentral describes it as "partial 16S ribosomal RNA". It matches the Rfam family "Bacterial small subunit ribosomal RNA", at positions 30 to 523 of the family's 1533-position model. The record is from RNAcentral.